GCUCAUAUAUGUUUUCAGUAAUGUUUUAUUUUCUCAGUUUCUAUUUCAUCCCAUAUUUUUUAAAAAUCCUAAAAAUGCUGCUGAUGAUUUUUUUUUUUUUUUUUUGACAGAGUCUCAAUCUGUUGCCUAGGCUGGAGUGCAUUGGCCUCCACAAUCCUUUAUCUUAACCUGAACAUUCCCUUCCAUUGAUCCCAGGUCUUCGAUAAACU
RNAcentral lists this long non-coding RNA (209 nucleotides) under Homo sapiens (human). RNAcentral's name for it is "non-protein coding lnc-SYK-9:1". Lineage: Eukaryota; Metazoa; Chordata; Mammalia; Primates; Hominidae. The record is from RNAcentral.